Ochotona curzoniae (black-lipped pika) is the source of this 473-nucleotide long non-coding RNA. RefSeq lists it as uncharacterized. NCBI's taxonomy places the organism in Eukaryota, Metazoa, Chordata, Mammalia, Lagomorpha, Ochotonidae. The transcript has 3 exons. The record is from RefSeq and is a predicted model, not a curated record.
GUCCGAAUGCCUAUGAGGGAAAAGUGCACAGUUGCCCAGCCUGUCCUCCAGCAGGUGCUUCCCCAGGGAGGCUCCGCCGCUGGGCAGUGGGCUUUGAUCGGUUGUGGUGGCAUGGUGCGGGAGCAAGGGAACGCUGAGAACUCAUUUCUGAGAUGCUUGCGCGGCUGUGGCUGCACAGGCCAGUGAAGAGGAAGGAAGUCUCUGUGAGCAUGGGAACCUGGAAGAAAGCAAGUGAAGCCGCUCACAGUGACCCGGGACCGGCGUUCAGUGGUGCACCCUCAUUAAGCUACUUUGCAGGAAAAGGGAAUUUUGGAGAGAAGAAGUAUUGUGGCACAACGGAUUAAGCUGCCAAUUGCAGCACCAGCUUUCCUUGUGAGACUGUGGGUUCGAGUCGCACACACACUGUUCUGCUCCAGCUCCAGCUGAUGCACCUGGGAAUACAGCAGCGGGUGGCCCACGUGCGUGGACUUCUG